This 253-nucleotide ribosomal RNA is filed under the name uncultured bacterium. RNAcentral's name for it is "partial 16S ribosomal RNA". It matches the Rfam family "Bacterial small subunit ribosomal RNA", at positions 524 to 776 of the family's 1533-position model. The record is from RNAcentral.
UACGUAGGGGGCGAGCGUUGUCCGGAAUUAUUGGGCCUAAAGCAUCCGUAGCCGGUUUUACAAGUCCUCCGUUAAAUCCAACUGCUUAACAGGUGGGCCGCGGAGGAUACUAUAAGACUAGGAGGCAGGAGAGGCAAGCGGUACUCAGUGGGUAGGGGUAAAAUCCGUUGAUCCAUUGAAGACCACCAGUGGCGAAGGCGGCUUGCCAGAAUGCGCUCGACGGUGAGGGAUGAAAGCUGGGGGAGCAAACCGG